Molecule: ribosomal RNA, 239 nt
Filed under: uncultured bacterium
Lineage: Bacteria
Description: partial 16S ribosomal RNA
Rfam family: Bacterial small subunit ribosomal RNA
Source: RNAcentral
UGAGGAACAUGACCUUCGGCGGGGGAGUAGCCGGCCCCAACGGCCGGGUAAUACCGCGUACGACCACAUGGGGACAUCCCUGAGUGGUGAAAGCAGCAAUGCGCCGAUGGAGUGCCUCGCGGCCUAUCGGCUAGUUGGUGAGGUAACGGCUCACCAAGGCGACGACGGGUAGCUGGUCUGAGAGGAUGGCCAGCCACAGUUGGGACUGAGACGACCGGCCCAGACUCCCGUAGGGACGG